RNAcentral lists this transfer RNA (74 nucleotides) under Aquabacterium sp. RNAcentral's name for it is "tRNA-Gly". It matches the Rfam family "tRNA". Rfam says of the family: Transfer RNA (tRNA) molecules are approximately 80 nucleotides in length. Their secondary structure includes four short double-helical elements and three loops (D, anti-codon, and T loops). Further hydrogen bonds mediate the characteristic L-shaped molecular structure. tRNAs have two regions of fundamental functional importance: the anti-codon, which is responsible for specific mRNA codon recognition, and the 3' end, to which the tRNAs corresponding amino acid is attached (by aminoacyl-tRNA synthetases). tRNAs cope with the degeneracy of the genetic code in two manners: having more than one tRNA (with a specific anti-codon) for a particular amino acid; and 'wobble' base-pairing, i.e. permitting non-standard base-pairing at the 3rd anti-codon position. The record is from RNAcentral. Lineage: Bacteria; Pseudomonadati; Pseudomonadota; Betaproteobacteria; Burkholderiales; Sphaerotilaceae. RNAcentral also lists the same sequence under 4 other names.
GCGGGAGUAGUUCAAUGGUAGAACCUUAGCCUUCCAAGCUAAUGAUGCGGGUUCGAUCCCCGUCUCCCGCUCCA